AGAGUUUGAUCAUGGCUCAGAACGAACGCUGGCGGCAUGCCUAACACAUGCAAGUCGAACGCUUGUCCGGCUUCGGCCGGACAGGAGUGGCGCACGGGUGAGUAGCGCGUGGGAACCUGCCCUGUUGUGGGGGAUAACCGAGGGAAACUUCGGCUAAUACCGCAUGCGCCCGGGGAAACUCGGGGAAAGAUUUAUCGUAGCAGGAGGGGCCCGCGUCGGAUUAGCUAGUUGGCGGGGUAACGGCCCACCAAGGCUCCGAUCCGUAGCUGGUCUGAGAGGAUGAUCAGCCACACUGGGACUGAGACACGGCCCAGACUCCUACGGGAGGCAGCAGUGGGGAAUAUUGGACAAUGGGCGCAAGCCUGAUCCAGCCAUGCCGCGUGAGUGAUGAAGGCCUUAGGGUUGUAAAGCUCUUUCGCCCGCGACGAUGAUGACGGUAGCGGGAGAAGAAGCCCCGGCUAACUUCGUGCCAGCAGCCGCGGUAAUACGAAGGGGGCGAGCGUUGUUCGGAUUUACUGGGCGUAAAGGGCGCGUAGGCGGCCCUCCUUGUCGCGUGUGAAAGCCCCGGGCUCAACCUGGGAAUUGCGCGCGAAACGGGGGGGCUUGAGUUCGGGAGAGGAGCGUGGAAUUCCCAGUGUAGAGGUGAAAUUCGUAGAUAUUGGGAAGAACACCGGUGGCGAAGGCGGCGCUCUGGACCGAGACUGACGCUGAGGCGCGAAAGCGUGGGGAGCAAACAGGAUUAGAUACCCUAGUAGUCC
This 758-nucleotide ribosomal RNA is filed under the name uncultured bacterium. RNAcentral's name for it is "bacterial SSU rRNA". It matches the Rfam family "Bacterial small subunit ribosomal RNA", at positions 8 to 796 of the family's 1533-position model. The record is from RNAcentral.